RNAcentral lists this ribosomal RNA (253 nucleotides) under uncultured bacterium. Its description in RNAcentral is "partial 16S ribosomal RNA". It matches the Rfam family "Bacterial small subunit ribosomal RNA", at positions 524 to 776 of the family's 1533-position model. The record is from RNAcentral.
UACGUAGGGGGCAAGCGUUGUCCGGAAUCAUUGGGCGUAAAGAGCGUGUAGGCGGCCCGAUAAGUCCGCUGUGAAAGUCCAGGGCUCAACCCUGGGAUGCCGGUGGAUACUGUCGGGCUCGAGUCCGGAAGAGGCGAGUGGAAUUCCUGGUGUAGCGGUGAAAUGCGCAGAUAUCAGGAGGAACACCAGUGGCGAAGGCGGCUCACUGGCCCGUUACCGACGCUCAGGCGCGACAGCGUGGGGAGCAAACAGG